Molecule: transfer RNA, 78 nt
Filed under: uncultured Actinomycetes bacterium
Lineage: Bacteria; Bacillati; Actinomycetota; Actinomycetes
Description: uncultured actinobacterium tRNA-Val
Rfam family: tRNA
About the family: Transfer RNA (tRNA) molecules are approximately 80 nucleotides in length. Their secondary structure includes four short double-helical elements and three loops (D, anti-codon, and T loops).
Source: RNAcentral
UGGGCGAUUGGCGCAGGGGUUAGCGCGCUUCCUUGACAUGGAAGAGGUCACAGGUUCGAUUCCUGUAUCGCCCACCCA